Molecule: long non-coding RNA, 1016 nt
Filed under: Callithrix jacchus (white-tufted-ear marmoset)
Lineage: Eukaryota; Metazoa; Chordata; Mammalia; Primates; Cebidae
Description: lncRNA (ENSCJAG00000052819.2)
Source: RNAcentral
CUGUAAUUCUAGCACUUUGAGAAACUGAGAUGGGUGGAUCACUUAAGGUCAGGAGUUUGAGAUCAGCCUGGCCAACAUGUGAAAUCCUGUCUCCACUAAAAAUAGAAAAAUUAGCUGGGUGUGGUGGCAGGAGCCUGUGAUCCCAGUUACUUGGGAGGUUGAGGCACAAGAAUCACUUGAACCUGGGAGGCAGAGGUCGAAGUGAGCCAAGAUCUCACCAAUCAAUGCACUCCAGCCUGGGUGAUGACCGACACUCUGUUAAAAAAAAAAAAAAAAAAAAAAGGAGCCUGGGCCAGACUUGGUGCCUCAUGCCUGUAACCUCAGCAUCACUUUGGGAGACCGAGGUAGGUGGAUCACUUGAGGUCAUGAGUUCAAAGCCAGCCUGGCCAACAUGGUAAAACCCCAUCUCUACUAAAAAUACAAAAAUUAGCUGGGUGUGGUGGUGGGCUCCUGUGAUCCCAGCUACUGGGGAGGCCAAGGCCUGAGAGUCACUUGAACCUGGGAGGCAGAGGUAGCACGGAGCCAAGAUUGUGCCACUGCAUCCCAGCUUGGGUGACAGAGUGAGACUCCAUCUCAAAAAAUAAGCAAAUAAAAAGAGCCUAGCAUGUCCUCCUCUCUCUCUCUCACUCCCUCUUUCUCCCCAUGACAGCUCCCCUUCCCCUCCCACCAUGAUUGGAAGCUUUCUGAGGCCCUAUGCAGAAGGAGAUGUGGCACCAUGCUUCUCUCUACAGCCCGCAGAACUGAAGAUGCCUUCAUACAAAGGUCUCAGGGAAAAGCAUCGACACGCCUAUUGGAGGGGCUCUUCAUGUCCAGGAUGGCAGCAGGACCCAACCGAAGAGCCCGGCCAGGCAUCAGGAGCACAGGUGCCUUCCACUAACUAGAGUGUGCUGCCUGCUCCACACAUAGACACAGGUGCGUCUGGUUUUCUGGGUCUCUGCCGUCUCUUGCUGUCUGUGAGGCCAUCAUAGGAUUCUCAGGGCAGCAUGGGGUUAGUUAGUAGUGUGAGUCAAGUUAAU